RNAcentral lists this long non-coding RNA (2234 nucleotides) under Lathyrus oleraceus (garden pea). Its description in RNAcentral is "Pisum sativum (pea) long non-coding RNA (PSAT_LNC026158)". Lineage: Eukaryota; Viridiplantae; Streptophyta; Magnoliopsida; Fabales; Fabaceae. The record is from RNAcentral.
AAAGACUAUACACAUAAAGUAUAUACUUUCGUAGAGAGCAUGUGUAUAUUCAAUAGUGUAAGCGUUAGCACGGUGAAUUAGCAUGAACAUUAGCAACUUCUUCCAAUCUUCCAAGUCUCCUUUUUAUAGGCAGUUAAAAUAUCCGUUUGAGGGUAGAAUUGGAACUAUAAAUUGCAGCUAUCUCUUUGUGUAACUAUUUUCAUAUAGGAGACAAAAUGGUACAAUAGUAUUGUCCGUAACCCACAAAAUCAGCGUAGUGGGGGGAAGGGAGAUCUUGGACUGUGUGAUGUUUUUCUGAUGCACAACCUUUUGAGAUUAUCUUCUAAUAUUCAGAGGCUUUUGAUUAAAUGAUGUUGAAGCAUGCUUAUAAGGAUCAAGAUACUAGUUGACAAAAUCUUUAGAACUUCGGUCUUUAGAGUCUUGACGCAAUUCCUCAUAACCUGGUCUUCAGAGUCUUCAGAUCUUGCUCUUCAAAAUCUUCAGAACUUGAGUGCAAAAUCUUGAAGGCUGACAAUCCUUCAGAGGCUUUUCAAUCAUAGUCACAACCAGAAGCUUUAGAAUAAAUGUUCAUCAAAACCAUUGUCUAAGAGCUUUCUUGAACUUAACAACAUCUUGUAAAGCCCUUGUAUCUCUUCAUAGUCAGAGUGUGUUGAUUCCAAAAUCAGAUGAUGUCACACAUCAAUGCUUCAGAGUCAGAAUCUGUUACCAAAAGCUGCACACUAGAUAAAAACCAUUAGUGUACAAAAUUGUUCUCUAAGAAAUAAUACAUUGUUAUCAUCAAAAUUAAGGGCUAGAUGCAGAACCAAAUCUUGUUCUUACAAUAGAGAAUCAUUUAAUGAUUUCCACUUGCAUGUUUAAAAUUUUACAAUGAGUCUAUUUGUACUUGCUAAGUUUAAGGUUUUAUUGGUUAGUUCUCAGAAGACCAUUCAAAUGGUGUUUAGUUGGAAGUUCAUCCGGUUAAAUCUCCGGGGAUCUUCCAGUGAUUGUUAUUUUGAAGGGUGUUGCUGAUAACUCUUGGGAAAUAUCGAUUAUUGUACGUCACAUUGUUUCUUGUCAUGCAUUUUCAAAUAAAUCUAAAAAAUUCUUUCCAUCCUCACUUGUUAAGUUGAAAGAACACGAAUUUUCUCUUUGAUGGUCUUCUAUCCAAUAUUUGAUAGAUGUAAUCCCUACUUUUUUUUCAGAGUCUAUCAUUGAUAUGUUUAUCCUAAUCGGUGACAAAUUUUCUCUUUGAUGAUCUUCUAUCCAGUAUUCGAUAGAUGUAAUCCCUACUUUUUAUUCAGUUGGUAUAUCCUUGAUAUGUUCAUCUUAACCGAUGACGGGUAUCCUCCUUAACAAUUUCCAGGCAAGACUAACCUUGAUAUGUUCAUCUUAACCGAUGAUAGAUUUUCUUUCCUUUGAGUCUAUCCUUGAUAUGUUCACCUUAAUCGGUGACAGAUAUUCUCAUCUUUGGUCUUCUUCCCAGUAACUGGUAGUUGUAAAUCCUAUUUCUGAAGCUUUCCCCUGCAAGGCUACUCUUACCCAGUAACUGGUAAUGAAUAUUCCCUCCUGAUGGUUUCCAGCGAGUCAUCCUUGAUAUGUUCAUCCUAACCGAUGACGGGUGUCCUCUCUGUCAGACUUUUGUUAUCUCCUUACCCAGUAGCGGUUAGUGGAUAAUAGAUUUCUUCUCCUCCUAUGUUGAAGUUUAUUUCUUCCCCCAGUUGAGUUGAGUGUGCUUCUCCUUAGUGAUAUCUCUUUCCCCUACAUUGAUUCAAGAACUUCAGUUUUAUCCUGAUCUACUUGUAAUUCACUGCAGAUGUCUUGUUUCCUCGGCUGAGUCUUUCCAUUUGAUGGAAUUCCUCUAGUCCCCUAGUAGUUUUUAAGUCGUAGCCUGGCCUACGCAUAACCCUUUAUCCCCCAGAGUCUUUGUCUCCUCAGUGAGUUUUCCUUGUGGAAUGCAUUAUGCUCCUGCGGAUCUUCGGUAUGUCUGAUUUGUUUUCCUUUGUGGCAACAUUUCCCCACAGAGAAUUUGCUUUUUACAUACAUAUCAUAUGCAUCAUGAGGUCUCUUAGGGACCAACAUUUGUUUCUAUAUGUUGUUAUUUAAGCCCAUUCUAUUGAGUCGACGCGAAGAUUUUAAUCUUCACCUCCUCAGGUAGAAUGACCUUAAAUAUGGGCAUCUGUAAGACCCCUAAUUUUGACCCUAAGAUCCCUCAUACAAUUUCAUCAUAUGCAUUAGCAUUGGGAUCAUACCUUGAC